Long non-coding RNA from Poecilia latipinna (sailfin molly), 113 nucleotides. RefSeq lists it as uncharacterized. The record is from RefSeq and is a predicted model, not a curated record. NCBI's taxonomy places the organism in Eukaryota, Metazoa, Chordata, Actinopteri, Cyprinodontiformes, Poeciliidae. The transcript has 3 exons.
UCCAUCCAUUUUCUUUACACCCUUGUCCCUUAGUGGGAUCGGGAGGGUUGCUGGUGCCUAUCUCCAGCUAACGUUCCUGGCAAGAGGCGGGGUUCCCCCUGGACAGGUUGCCA